UACGUAGGGUGCGAGCGUUGUCCGGAAUUAUUGGGCGUAAAGAGCUCGUAGGCGGCCAGUUGCGUCUGCUGUGAAAUCCCGGGGCUCAACCCCGGGCGUGCAGUGGAUACGGGCUGGCUAGAGGCAGGCAGGGGAGAACGGAAUUCCCGGUGUAGCGGUGAAAUGCGCAGAUAUCGGGAGGAACACCGGUGGCGAAGGCGGUUCUCUGGGCCUGUACUGACGCUGAGGAGCGAAAGCGUGGGGAGCGAACAGG
RNAcentral lists this ribosomal RNA (253 nucleotides) under uncultured bacterium. Its description in RNAcentral is "partial 16S ribosomal RNA". It matches the Rfam family "Bacterial small subunit ribosomal RNA", at positions 524 to 776 of the family's 1533-position model. The record is from RNAcentral.